Molecule: long non-coding RNA, 1303 nt
Filed under: Ursus maritimus (polar bear)
Lineage: Eukaryota; Metazoa; Chordata; Mammalia; Carnivora; Ursidae
Description: lncRNA (ENSUMAG00000019157.1)
Source: RNAcentral
GCCGAGUGAUGCUCCAGGCUUCCUAAAACCUGAACAUGUCACUCCUGCAUGCUGUCCUGUCUGGUUUCUUACAGGAGAAGCUUAUGCGCUGACUUUUCUGCUGCUGCGCACAAGAUACCCGGUUGCGAACGCCUGAAGAGCUGCCUUGGGGUGAUUCAGGACGGGUCGAAGAGAGGAGAUUCCACUGGAGUGCAAGUCGAGCUGCUGGGGGUACUGAGGAGCCAGAGAGAGGCCGGUGCUCUCAUGAUCUUCCUGCUGGAUGGCAGCCAGCUAGCCCAGGAGAGCAGGGACGUAUGUGUCUAAACUCAGGAGAUCUGCACGAGUGACUUCCAGUGCUUCCUUGUCCAAAAGCUAUGGUAAGCGGGCGGUGCAGCACCCAUCACCUGAUAAAUCCAAGGCAUCAAGAGGCAGACCUCUCAGGGGACAGAGGUCCCCGCAUAAAGCAGUCAACUUACGCCAGCUCAGUGCUGGCUGAGAGUGCAGAAAACCGAGAACGGGUGGUAGAAAUAGACUAUUAGUUAUGACCUUGAGAUCCACUGUGACAGGGGACCAGGGCUCGUUCUACUCACUCUCUUACAUUAAGUCCUGACAGAGCUGCAGCUUUGGAUAAAGACUCUGUUGAAUUGGAGGGUCCAUGAUGGAUAUGAACGGUGCAAGGGACUUCCCUUGUGCCUCAGCUCAAAUCCUCUCAGAGGGACCCUCCCUACUUGACAGACUAUUGCGGAGACCAGUCUGGACAGGCUUCAGAACAGCUCAGCCUGGCAGCAAUGUGACAGUGUCUGCCCCAGGGCGUCCCUGAAGCUGCUGUGCAAAUGCCCACAGAAUGCUAGGCGCACACCCUGGGACAGCCUGGAGAUGUGGGGGAGUUGGUGCAAGAGGCCACCAUUGACCACUGGGAGACAGGAUCCUGUAGGUAAAUGCUCACCCAUUUCGUUCCCUGAGCAGAGAAAUCUGAGCUACACCCCCUCAGGCUCUUCAGAAGGUACUAUGGGAUUGGUCUGUUGCCCAUAGGGGCAGCUAACUCAGUCCUACAUCUUUGCCUUUCUCACUUCUCCCGUUUCACUCCUCAGGUCCUCUCUCUGGAUCCCUGGGAUCACUUCCCGUAUAAACUACCUUCAGGUAAGCCUGUGUCUGAGGCACAGCUUUUAGGGGAACUCAAAUGAAGACAGCCAUUCAUAAAGUUGAAAGAGGGAGGGGAAGGUGUGAAACCAUCUUUUCUCAGAGUGCAAAUAUCAUAAAGCCACCAAGCAUGCUGGGUUCCUAUUUGGGGUGUGCAGGAAUGUGUUUAAGGUAAACCCUCCAG